UAGGAAAAUAAUGAAUGUGCAUAAUCGAGUUUUGUCGAGGAAGAAUCGCACAUCCGAUUUCUCUCCCUAAUCUCAUACAACCGCUGGUGACCUAAUGCUUUCCCUAAUCUCUAUGACAUUUCUGAGUUAUGGGCAUAUGUUUAACUGAAAACCCAUAUUAAUUUAUAUAUAAAUUUGUGUUUGGGGAUUUUUUAUAAGGAUUCUGUAUUUUGUAAGGUAAAAUUUUCAGUAUGCAGUUAGGGAUUAUUAUUUCAGUGAUUUUACAUUUGUAUUCUCAAAUUUCAUCUUGAAUUUCUCUGAACCAUUUGAUAAUCUAUAGGAGUACAAAAAGAAAUCAUACAGAAAGACUCAUUUGAGGCCUAUUUGGUGUUGUUAUUGUUGAUUUUCAGUCUUGACAGAACUCUCAUCUGUCUCUUUUUUGGGUAAGUUAAAAGCUUCUUCUUAAGAGACCCGUUGCAUGUUGGCAUUCCAUACUUAUUUUUUUUUCUUUUAUGACUAUGUGCCUAAAUCAGUUGAUGCAUACUUUUAAAUUUUAUAAGGCAUAUAUAUGUUACUGUAAGGUUAUAAGAAAACAUAAUACUUCUUUGGUAAAUGCAUGUAUUUGGCCACUUAAACAAUAAUUUGAAUGUAAUAUUCUUUCUUGAUCAUCUAGAAAAGGAGUUUAGAUGGACUAUCAACUCUUAACCACACCCUAAAAGCUAAAUGCCUUCUGUUUUUAUUUAGCUGGGCAAAUGUUUCCCCUGUAGAAUCCCCCGAAACCUUUUUGAAGUUUGUUAGCUCUUUGUAUCUAAGAAAAUAUAUAUGUAGUAAGCUAACAAGUGGUCAUUUUUGCUUUUCGAAGUUUCUAUGCUUCUGCUGCUUCUUGUAAUAUUUGCAUCUUCUUGAUGAAAUCAAUGAAGCCAAUUAUUUCAUUAAAAAAGAGAGAGUUUAGAGUAGGAAAAAUAGGAGAUGACUUGGUAGAACCUUUUGGGCAAGGAUCCAAUUUAUCUAUUAUCUUAGUUUUUUAGUUUUUUUCCUCAGAUAAACAUUCAUGUCCAUUAGUACUGUUGCAACAUUUUAGUUAACUAUCCUAUAGAAGAUUCAACGUCAAAUGAUAAUUGCUAAUUUUAGAACUCUUUUCUAAUAUUUUAUAAAGAGGCUUACCCUGUGUUCCAUUGACAUUACAUGAAGCUUUGAGAAGAAUGGAACUUUGGCAAGAGACUCUUAUGUUAGAUUACAGAUUUGGGUUGUCUUAAGAAUUAAAAUGACAAUCGGAAGUGUCUUUCUCUUAUUGUUUCUGCUAAGAAUAAGAGGCUUACCUGGUGUCUUUCCCUUAUUGUGUUCAAACGAGAGCAUUUUAUA
This 1341-nucleotide long non-coding RNA is filed under the name Nicotiana tabacum (common tobacco). RNAcentral's name for it is "long non-coding RNA (NTAB_LNC018314)". Lineage: Eukaryota; Viridiplantae; Streptophyta; Magnoliopsida; Solanales; Solanaceae. The record is from RNAcentral.